RNAcentral lists this ribosomal RNA (465 nucleotides) under Vreelandella stevensii. RNAcentral's name for it is "partial 16S ribosomal RNA". It matches the Rfam family "Bacterial small subunit ribosomal RNA", at positions 338 to 795 of the family's 1533-position model. The record is from RNAcentral. Lineage: Bacteria; Pseudomonadati; Pseudomonadota; Gammaproteobacteria; Oceanospirillales; Halomonadaceae.
CCUACGGGUGGCUGCAGUGGGGAAUAUUGGACAAUGGGGGCAACCCUGAUCCAGCCAUGCCGCGUGUGUGAAGAAGGCCCUCGGGUUGUAAAGCACUUUCAGUGAGGAAGAACGCCUGGUGGUUAAUACCCAUCAGGAAAGACAUCACUCACAGAAGAAGCACCGGCUAACUCCGUGCCAGCAGCCGCGGUAAUACGGAGGGUGCGAGCGUUAAUCGGAAUUACUGGGCGUAAAGCGCGCGUAGGUGGCUUGAUAAGCCGGUUGUGAAAGCCCCGGGCUCAACCUGGGAACGGCAUCCGGAACUGUCAAGCUAGAGUGCAGGAGAGGAAGGUAGAAUUCCCGGUGUAGCGGUGCAAUGCGUAGAGAUCGGGAGGAAUACCAGUGGCGAAGGCGGCCUUCUGGACUGACACUGACACUGAGGUGCGAAAGCGUGGGUAGCAAACAGGAUUAGAUACCCGAGUAGUC